Molecule: transfer RNA, 73 nt
Filed under: Ameiurus melas (black bullhead)
Lineage: Eukaryota; Metazoa; Chordata; Actinopteri; Siluriformes; Ictaluridae
Description: tRNA-Asp
Rfam family: tRNA
About the family: Transfer RNA (tRNA) molecules are approximately 80 nucleotides in length. Their secondary structure includes four short double-helical elements and three loops (D, anti-codon, and T loops). Further hydrogen bonds mediate the characteristic L-shaped molecular structure. tRNAs have two regions of fundamental functional importance: the anti-codon, which is responsible for specific mRNA codon recognition, and the 3' end, to which the tRNAs corresponding amino acid is attached (by aminoacyl-tRNA synthetases). tRNAs cope with the degeneracy of the genetic code in two manners: having more than one tRNA (with a specific anti-codon) for a particular amino acid; and 'wobble' base-pairing, i.e. permitting non-standard base-pairing at the 3rd anti-codon position.
Source: RNAcentral
UCCUCGUUAGUAUAGUGGACAGUAUCUCGCCCGCCUGUCACGGAAGACCGGGGUUCGAUUCCCCGACGGGGAG